GAUGAAGAACGGAGCGAAAUGCGAUAAGUAGUGUGAAUUGCAGAAUUCAGUGAAUCAUCGAAUCUUUGAACGCACAUUGCGCCCGCCAGUAUUCUGGCGGGCAUGCCUGUUCGAGCGUCAUUACAACCCUCAGGCCCCCGGGCCUGGCGUUGGGGAUCGGCGGAGCCCCCCGUGGGCACACGCCGUCCCCCAAAUACAGUGGCGGUCCCGCCGCAGCUUCCAUCGCGUAGUAGCUAACACCUCGCGACUGGAGAGCGGCGCGGCCACGCCGUAAAACACCCAACUCUUCUGAAGUUGACCUCGAAUCAGGUAGGAAUACCCGCUGAACUUAAGCAUAUCAAAAGCGGAGGA
Molecule: unclassified non-coding RNA, 351 nt
Filed under: soil metagenome
Description: partial contains 5.8S ribosomal RNA, internal transcribed spacer 2, and large subunit ribosomal RNA
Rfam family: 5.8S ribosomal RNA (bases 1-120)
Source: RNAcentral